AUGGAGGAAGCCGAAAAGCCAAAAAGAGUAGGUA
This is a non-coding RNA of Flavobacterium sp. CF136, 34 nucleotides long. The record is from Rfam. Lineage: Bacteria; Pseudomonadati; Bacteroidota; Flavobacteriia; Flavobacteriales; Flavobacteriaceae.